GAACGCUGGACUUGCAGGGCGGGGAAUGGAGGUCCAGUCUGAGCUGCGCGUGGGAGCAUUUAUUUAUACCCCUGGUUGACUACUAAAGGUUAAAGAGGCAGCUAAGACUGAUAUAUGAUCUUACCUCUGCUUUUAAAGGGGGCUGUUUCUCUUUCACAUACUGCUUCUGCAAAACCUUCAGCACAUAAAGCAGCCAAGCCAGUUUGACCAGCUUGAGGGAAACACCAAACAAAGCUCCAAUCACAUGAACACUAGUUACUAAUUAUCUUCUGGGCUCUGUGGGGAAAGAUAUAGCAGCUCACUGAUUGGAUCCUGAGGUUGAAAUAACUCCACAUCUCUCCGCGCUCCAACUGCAGCAGCAAGACGAGUGACUUGAGUGCUUGGGAGACAUUUUAAGAAGGACAGAUAGAGCCUUAGGUUAAACUGUACCUGUCCACAUUUCAGCCCAACCCAGGCCCAUGGAAGAGCGCAGUAAGACUUGUGUCUUUAAGAAUGCUGAAUAUGUGUGAAACCCAAGAGAUUAGAAAAGAAAGAGAAGCAGAGAAGAAUGGGCACUGGGGCUCCAGCUGGGAGUAUGAAGACUGCGGGAGUCUACGGAAGGCGGACCCUACAAUGCUGGACGGAGUUUACAGAGAAGGUGACUUGCGUUCCAGAUACCGGACCACGGGGCGGAUCCGGCCCUACAGAAAAAGGCAUUGUGGAUAUUGGGAUUUUGAGCAGAGUGAACCAAGCUACGCGGACUAUGAGGAAGCGAAGGAAAGUGGAAAGGACUAUUUGUACCAUGGAAGUGUGAUUCAUGGAAGAGAGGGUUAUAGGAAUUCAGAAAAUAUAGAUGAUGGGAACCUGAGCCCUGGGACUGAGAAUAAUUCGCUUAAAGGAAGCCCAGAUGUAACCUGGAAAGGUGGAGGAUACAGGGAGGUGAACGGCUCCAUAGAUCCUAAGAAUCUGAAUUAUAGUCCUGAGGACUCAGAAGAAACUGAAGAGUGGACUGGCUGCAGGGAUCUGGAUGAUUCUUUGGGGAAUUUUGGUCAACCUCAAAACUGGCACAUGUACCACAGGAAUUUUAAUGAUAAUCUUGAAGAUUGUAAAGAAACUAAUUUUUCUUCUAGAGACUUCAACGAUUUAUAUGAUAUUCCUGAGAAUUAUACUAAUGGUCACUCUGUGGACUUCCCAGAUUUGAAGGGUGUCAGUGAAGGUAAGGAAUUUGUCAAAAACUAUGAAGAUGACAGGAAUGUUUAUCAAAAUGAUAAAGUCUAUCCCAAAUCAAAGACUCAUGCCAUGGAUCAAAGUAACUUUGAGACAGAAAAUAAAGGCAAUGAUACUCUAUUUGCAAACUGUGAGUAUAAAUUUCAGAAUUACAGAGGCACAGGUUCUCUCUGUCCGAUGAAGAAUGUGGAGUAUAAUGGCCUUAACAGACCGGGGAUGAUGGCACUUGGGGGCAGAGGGAUCCCCCUGGAUGGUCUGCAGAAUCCCCGGACUAGGGGGGACCAAGGAGAACGUUGUGGCAUUCCUCAGGGCCCUUCAUUAGAGAAGAGCACCUGGCAUUUAGAGAAAGAGAGAAAAUUCAAUCGCCCAGAGACUUGGAAAAGGAAUAGUUGCCUUCGCCGCACAGCACCCAGCACCCUGAGACGCUCAGAAUUUGUGCAAAACAGGAAGAGAACUCAAGACAUUAGAGGAAAAGAAGACGUAACUUGUUUUAUGGAGGGUUCCUUCCUUGACAUUCAGAAAUCUUAAGUGAAUCUUGUGGGAUUCUGAAGAUUAUUUACAUUCUUCGUGGUGCUUCAUGCAUGUCAGAUUCAUUAAUUCAAAUGGAAAUAACUUUAAAGACCGUCUAGUUUAACCCCACUCGAUUUGCUGUUCCUGAACACCAGACGGGUGACAUGACUACCCUGGAUGAAGAAAGCUCUGGAAG
Molecule: RNA transcript, 1912 nt
Organism: Equus quagga
Lineage: Eukaryota; Metazoa; Chordata; Mammalia; Perissodactyla; Equidae
Exons: 3
Source: RefSeq, a predicted model, not a curated record